GAUGAACGCUGGCGGCGUGCCUAAUACAUGCAAGUCGAGCGAACAGACGAGGCGCUUGCUCCUUUGACGUUAGCGGCGGAGGGGUGAGAAACACGUGGAAACCGUACCUAUAAGACGGGGAUAACUUCGGGAAACGGGCGCUAAUACGGGAGAACAUCUUGAACCACAGGGGUCAACAGUGAAAGACGGCCUUGCUGGCACGUAUAGAUGGAUCUGCGCCGCAUUGGCUAGUUGGUAAGGUAACGGCUUAUCAAGGCAACGAUGCGUAGACGAGGUGAUAGGCGGGUCGGCGACCUUGGAGCGGGGCCGCGGUCAAGACGCCUACGGGACGCACCAGUAGGCUAUCUUACGCAGUGGGCGGAAGCAUGACGCAGCAACGCCGCGCGAGUGAAGAAGGUCUUCGGAUCGUAAUGCUCUGUUAUUGGUGGAGAACAAAUGUGUAAGUUACUAUGCACGGAUUGACGGUACCUAGUCAGAAAGCCCCGGCUAACUACGUG
RNAcentral lists this ribosomal RNA (497 nucleotides) under uncultured bacterium. Its description in RNAcentral is "partial 16S ribosomal RNA". It matches the Rfam family "Bacterial small subunit ribosomal RNA", at positions 28 to 507 of the family's 1533-position model. The record is from RNAcentral.